RNAcentral lists this transfer RNA (72 nucleotides) under Ovis aries (sheep). It matches the Rfam family "tRNA". Rfam says of the family: Transfer RNA (tRNA) molecules are approximately 80 nucleotides in length. The record is from Rfam by way of RNAcentral. Lineage: Eukaryota; Metazoa; Chordata; Mammalia; Artiodactyla; Bovidae.
UCCCUGGUAGUUCAGUGGUUAGGACUUGGUGCUUUCACUGCUGUGGUCCAGGUGCAAACCCUGGUUGGGAAA